CUUUGCCAUUGCAGGUGCGCUUGCAUGGCAGGUCAAAAAAGCCCUAAUAAAUUUUGUUUUUUUGGGUUUUGGGGGGAAGAGGCACGGGUGUUUUUUUCUUUUCCCGCUCGGCUCUUCCCCCUUCUGCGUGCGCCCGCGCUCUCUCUCUCCCUCUCCCUCUCUCUCUCCUCGUUUCUUCUGUCUGGUCUAUGCUUGCAUAUCUACAUUUGCACGCCAAUCAUAAUUUGGUGGCACGGAUAAGGCCAACAAGGAUACCAAUCUGGCUUCACAAAGAAGGUAAUUAAUAGCUCUCGACCCUCUUAUUGAUUCUUUAAUUUCAAAAAUAAUGUGCAGAAAAUCUACAGAAAACAAAAUCAUUCUUACAAGGGUACAUUUGAUGAAGAUCGCCCUGUUUCACACACUUAUUAUAACAUAGUUAGUUUAACAACGAUCAAGGGAAACAUUCUCACCAGUGGUUCAGUUGGUGGUCCGCCUGUUCUCAUACACUAUCACUAUAUAGUUAGGUUAACAGCAAACAUUCCAAAACUGUGUAUUUCAUCUUCUGUAGGAAUUAGUUGCACACUGAGAUCAAGAAAGCAUUUGCUAUUUAUUUGUCAUAUUUAUGUUUCCCAAUGGCUAAAGAUAGAAAUGAGGUACUGAAGCUCUGUUGGAAGCCCCUUUUCAGUCUAUCAUAGCAAUCGGGAAAAUCUACAAAAUGAAAUUGUCCCCGCACAGAUACGAUAGUUGUAACAAAAAAAUUUCAACAUUGUAUUAUAUAAAUUAUGAAGAUAUAGCAUUUUUUGCAAGGCCUUCAAAUUACUAUUAUCUAGUGUGGAUCUCCGUUUAAUUUACAUGCUCAGGGCGCAUUUAUUUACCGUAUUCAUGUUUCCUGGUGGAUAACAAUAUAAAGAAACACUUCUACUGUGCACCUAUGUCCCAUUUGAGUUUUACAUGACAACCAGGAGAAUAUCUCACUAAAUUGAAUCAAAGUUUUUAUGAGAAUUCUCAAUCUCUUGGAGCCGAGUGUUUUUUGUGCUAUUAAUUUGAUUUUCUCCUGAAUCGUAUGCUAUAUUUGAUAGUGUGAUUAUUUUGUCAAUUUGUGAAUGUGAGAUGUUAUCACAGUAUUCAAGGCAAAAUGUAUCAUUAGUUUGGUUUGUUUGUGUAAUGACAUGGGGAUGGAUAGUGAUAGACAUGAUCCUUGGUGCUGUAAUUGGGGAUGGUCUGUGAGUAGUCUGUUACAUACGUACCUAUAAAAACUUUACUCUCCUACCAGCUUGGAACGUCGUCGUCUCUCUAAGCAUAAUAUAAAUUGUAUGGUUCACGAAUCCUAAAACAAUAUGUUCCACCAUGGGCUUCUCAUGGGGAAGAGCGCCAGCCAGUUUUAUGAACUAUGAUGUGGAAGAAUGCAGUUCUGAGCUGAGGGGUUGCGACAAACUUCUCGCGUGGAACAGUGCAGAGGCUGUGCUGCUGGUUGACGCAUUGGAAUAACACAGUUUUGAGGCUGAAUACAUAAUUGCUGUUCAGCUAUUCAUGGAUGGAGCACAUGAUGGAGAUGUAAUUUGUUGAUCUCUGCUAUUCUUGUGCUGUGCUCUUGCUCCUUUGUAAUUUGGUGAUCAUCAGAGGCAAAAACAACAUAAUGGAUAUGCUCGGUUCCUUUGUGCUCAGUAUUUGGUGAUCAGCAAAAGGCAAAGACAGCAUAACUCGUGUUGUUUUUUGAAAUUUUGUUUGCGCCUUGUCAAUUAUCCAGCAGUGUUGUCUUUUUUUAUUGAAGGAGAUUGAAAUUCAGUUUGUCUGGAUCAAAGGGGUUUUGCCUCCUUUACCUUAUGCAGGCAAAAGAGAACCUGACGCGCCUGGAAUAUCUUGGGAUUGCAUUGCAGAGUCAGACAGGUUGUAUUUUUCUAUCCGGGAAGUCUUUAGAGCGAAGAAAAUUCCUUUGCUAUUUACUUGUGAUUUAUGUUCCAGUACGGUGGCUUCUUUGUUGGGAAUGGGAAUCGUAUUCUUGCCAUCGGUGCAAAAAGCCAACACCAAAUUGCUUGUCGCCCUCAGAAUAUAAAUCAGACCUAACUUGCUGUACGAUGCCUAAAUUCAAACAAGUUAUGCAGCACAACACAACAUAUGAACCACAGAAAAUAAAAAUAUUUCUAGUUUAAAGUUGGUAGAUAUUGACUUGUCACUUGCCAACAAGACGCAGAGAAUCCACCACGUGUCCAAUACGCCCACACAGACAAACAAACAAAGACGAGUCAUUGACCCAAAAAAAAAACAAACGAGUCACAUGUUUUACUUUUCCUCCUUUGAUCUUAACCAACGACCAAUGGGGAAUCGGGCUCCCGCUACGUGACAGACCGGCCUUCUGAAACUGAUUGUGAAACCCUUAAAACUCAUC
This is a long non-coding RNA of Prunus mume (Japanese apricot), 2365 nucleotides long. RefSeq lists it as uncharacterized. Lineage: Eukaryota; Viridiplantae; Streptophyta; Magnoliopsida; Rosales; Rosaceae. The record is from RefSeq and is a predicted model, not a curated record.